Molecule: transfer RNA, 72 nt
Filed under: Bos indicus (zebu cattle)
Lineage: Eukaryota; Metazoa; Chordata; Mammalia; Artiodactyla; Bovidae
Also listed under: 4 other names
Rfam family: tRNA
About the family: Transfer RNA (tRNA) molecules are approximately 80 nucleotides in length. Their secondary structure includes four short double-helical elements and three loops (D, anti-codon, and T loops).
Source: Rfam by way of RNAcentral
UCCCUGAUGGUCCAGUGGUUAAGCAUCUGCUUUCCAACACAGGGGAUGCAGGUUUGAUGCCUGUUCAGGGAA